CAGCCGCCGCGGUAAUACGUAGGUGGCAAGCUUUGUCCGGAUUUAUUGGGCGUAAAGCGAGCGCAGGCGGUUCUUUAAGUCUGAUGUGAAAGCCCCCGGCUCAACCGGGGAGGGUCAUUGGAAACUGGAGAACUUGAGUGCAGAAGAGGAGAGUGGAAUUCCACGUGUAGCGGUGAAAUGCGUAGAUAUGUGGAGGAACACCAGUGGCGAAGGCGACUCUCUGGUCUGUAACUGACGCUGAGGCUCGAAAGCGUGGGGAGCAAACAGGAUUAGAUACCCUGGUAGUCCACGCCGUAAACGAUGAGUGCUAAGUGUUGGAGGGUUUACGCCCUUCAGUGCUGCAGCUAACGCAUUAAGCACUCCGCCUGGGGAGUACGACCGCAAGGUUGAAACUUAAAGGAAUUGGCGGG
RNAcentral lists this ribosomal RNA (410 nucleotides) under uncultured microorganism. RNAcentral's name for it is "bacterial SSU rRNA". It matches the Rfam family "Bacterial small subunit ribosomal RNA", at positions 509 to 917 of the family's 1533-position model. The record is from RNAcentral.